This 162-nucleotide ribosomal RNA is filed under the name uncultured bacterium. RNAcentral's name for it is "partial 16S ribosomal RNA". It matches the Rfam family "Bacterial small subunit ribosomal RNA", at positions 355 to 507 of the family's 1533-position model. The record is from RNAcentral.
UAGGGAAUCUUCGGCAAUGGACGAAAAGUCCUGACCGAGCAACGCCGCGUGAGUGAAGAAGGUUUUCGGUCGUAAAACUCUGUUGUUAGGAGAAAACAAGGAUGAGAGUAACUGUUCUACCCUUGACGGUAUCCUAACCAGAAAGCCACGGCUAACUACGUG